GACGAACGCUGGCGGCGUGCUUAACACAUGCAAGUCGAACGCUGAAGCUUGGUGCUUGCACUGGGUGGAUGAGUGGCGAACGGGUGAGUAAUACGUGAGUAACCUGCCCUUGACUCUGGGAUAAGCCUGGGAAACUGGGUCUAAUACUGGAUACGACAUGCCACUGCAUGGUGGUGUGUGGAAAGGGUUUUACUGGUUUUGGAUGGGCUCACGGCCUAUCAGCUUGUUGGUGGGGUAAUGGCCUACCAAGGCGACGACGGGUAGCCGGCCUGAGAGGGUGACCGGCAACACGGGGACGGAGACACGGCCAAGACUCCUACGGGAGGCAGCAGUGGGGAAUAUUGCACAAUGGGCGGAAGCCUGAUGCAGCGACGCCGCGUGAGGGAUGACGGCCUUCGGGUUGUAAACCUCUUUCAGCACGGAAGAAGCGGGAGUGACGGUAGGUGCAGAAGAAGCGCCGGCUAACUACGUG
This 472-nucleotide ribosomal RNA is filed under the name uncultured bacterium. Its description in RNAcentral is "partial 16S ribosomal RNA". It matches the Rfam family "Bacterial small subunit ribosomal RNA", at positions 28 to 507 of the family's 1533-position model. The record is from RNAcentral.